AUUGAACGCUGGCGGCAUGCCUUACACAUGCAAGUCGAACGGCAGCACGGGAGCAAUCCUGGUGGCGAGUGGCGAACGGGUGAGUGAUAUAUCGGAACGUGCCCAGUCGUGGGGGAUAACGUAGCGAAAGCUACGCUAAUACCGCAUACGAUCUAUGGAUGAAAGCGGGGGAUCGCAAGACCUCGCGCGAUUGGAGCGGCCGAUAUCAGAUUAGGUAGUUGGUGAGGGAAAGGCUCACCAAGCCGACGAUCUGUAGCUGGUCUGAGAGGACGACCGGCCACACUGGGACUGGGACACGGCCCAGACUCCUACGGGAGGCAGCAGUGGGGAAUUUUGGACAAUAGGCGCAAGCCUGAUCCAGCAAUGCCGCGUGCAGGAUGAAGGCCUUCGGGUUGUAAACUGCUUUUGUACGGAACGAAACGGUGAGCUCUAAUACAGUUUGCUAAUGACGGUACCGUAAGAAUAAGCACCGGCUAACUACGUGCCAGCCGCCGCAGUAA
This 500-nucleotide ribosomal RNA is filed under the name uncultured bacterium. RNAcentral's name for it is "partial 16S ribosomal RNA". It matches the Rfam family "Bacterial small subunit ribosomal RNA", at positions 30 to 523 of the family's 1533-position model. The record is from RNAcentral.